UUGGAGGGCAAGUCUGGUGCCAGCAGCCGCGGUAAUUCCAGCUCCAAUAGCGUAUAUUAAAGUUGUUGCAGUUAAAAAGCUCGUAGUUGAAUUUCGGGAUCAGAUUGUCGGUCGUGCCUCGGUACGCACUGGUAUUAUUGGUUCCUACCUUCUGAAGAACCGCGAUGUCAUUAAUUUGGUGUCGUGGGGAAUCAGGACUGUUACUUUGAAAAAAUUAGAGUGUUUAAAGCAGGCUUACGCUUGAAUACAUUAGCAUGGAAUAAUGAAAUAGGACGUUUGAUUCUAUUUUGUUGGUUUCUAGGAUCGACGUAAUGAUUAAUAGGGAUAGUUGGGGGCAUUAGUAUUCAAUUGUCAGAGGUGAAAUUCUUGGAUUUAUUGAAGACUAACUACUGCGAAAGCAUUUGCCAAGGAUGUUUUCAUUAAUCAAGAACGAAAGUUAGGGGAUCGAAGACGAUCAGAUACCGUCGUAGUCUUAACCAUAAACUAUGCCGACUAGGGAUCGGAUGAUGUUAAUUUUUUAAUGACUCAUUCGGCGCCUUACGGGAAAC
Molecule: ribosomal RNA, 548 nt
Filed under: uncultured Glomeromycotina
Lineage: Eukaryota; Fungi; Glomeromycota
Description: SSU rRNA
Rfam family: Eukaryotic small subunit ribosomal RNA
Source: RNAcentral